RNAcentral lists this long non-coding RNA (279 nucleotides) under Panax ginseng (ginseng). Its description in RNAcentral is "long non-coding RNA (PGIN_LNC014548)". The record is from RNAcentral. Lineage: Eukaryota; Viridiplantae; Streptophyta; Magnoliopsida; Apiales; Araliaceae.
CCCGAUUCAAAAAUUGAACAAACUCUAUGAAAGUUACCAGAAAAUAGAAGUAAAUUAGGUUUACCUAACAAAUACGGUGAACUCACUCGAGCUAUUGAUAAGUUAUUUAAAAUAUUAAAAACUGAGCCUGAAUCAAGUGGCACCAUUGCAAUCAUUGAUCAAGUUAAAAUAGACAAUGAAAGCAAUACCAAGUCAGAUCAUUCUGAUACUUCUUCUAGACCUACUCCUCCGGAUCUACAGUUCGAAGAGAGAAAUCUAGAUAAGCAAUUCUCUGUUUCA